UGGGGAAUCUUGCACAAUGGGCGAAAGCCUGAUGCAGCCAUGCCGCGUGAAUGAUGAAGGCCUUAGGGUUGUAAAAUUCUUUCGCUAGGGAUGAUAAUGACAGUACCUAGUAAAGAAGCCCCGGCUAACUUCGUGCCAGCAGCCGCGGUAAUACGAAGGGGGCUAGCGUUGUUCGGAAUUACUGGGCGUAAAGCGCACGUAGGCGGACUUUUAAGUCAGGUGUGAAAUCCCGGGGCUCAACCUCGGAACU
This 250-nucleotide ribosomal RNA is filed under the name uncultured bacterium. Its description in RNAcentral is "partial 16S ribosomal RNA". It matches the Rfam family "Bacterial small subunit ribosomal RNA", at positions 355 to 622 of the family's 1533-position model. The record is from RNAcentral.